This 2210-nucleotide long non-coding RNA is filed under the name Olea europaea subsp. europaea. The record is from RNAcentral. Lineage: Eukaryota; Viridiplantae; Streptophyta; Magnoliopsida; Lamiales; Oleaceae.
AUACCGACUACGGGGACUCCGAUGAUUUAUGAAGCAUUCAUAGUGAAGAGGAAGGCAAUAGAGCUUCAAGAAGGAGGGCUUCCAAUGAUACUUUCAAUGUGGGGACAGAUAUGGAGGAUCCAGUGUUCAAAACAGCUAACUUGAAUAUUAUUCUUUACUUCAAAUUUAAACUUGCCUAUGUACUUUAGUGUCAUGAGGUCUAAUAUGUAUUGAAUUUUUUUGAUUAUGCAGGCUUGAUAUUUGAGUCGAAGGCCGUACUAAAGGCUGCAAUCACCUCACAUUCAGUUACAAACAAUAGAGAGAUUAAGUUCAAAAAGGAUGAUGCUCAUAGAUUGAGAGCCAAGUGUAAGGGAGAUUGUCCGUGGGUGUUGUAUGCUACAAAGGAACAUGGUAGGGCAAGUUGGAUGAUCAAAACUUUUGUGGAGGAGCAUACUUGUCCCACGGUAUACAAGAACUUCAGGGUGACCUCAUCCUAUUUGACAUAUAGAUAUUUAGCUUAUUGGAGGGCUGAGCAAAACAUGUCAGUUACUGUAGUCAUGGAGAGGGUUAAGCAAGAUGGUUUAGGUGAUAUCUCAGCCUGACAGGCAUAUAGAUCGAAGGAGAAGGCGCUCGAAAAAAUUAGAGGGAGUGUGGUGGAGCAUUACAAAUUCAUGUGGGAUUAUUGUGAGGAGUUCAAGAGGACAAAUAUUGGGACCACUGCAUUGGUUGAGGGGCACGCUGGAGAAUUUCGACGGUUGUAUAUUUGCAUUGGGGCAUUGAGAGAUGGUUUUAUUCGAGGUUGCAGAAGGGUGAUUGGGGUAGAUGGCUGCUUUUCGAAGACAGAGCUUGGUGGCCAAUUGUUGACAGCAGUUGGUGUUGAUGCGAAUAAUGGUAUGUAUCCGGUGGCAUAUGCAGUUGUGGAGGUUGAAAAUGGGGAUAAUUGGAAAUGAUUUUUGGAGUUAUUGAAGGAUGAUUUGCACAUACAUAACAGUCAACAUUGGAUAUUCAUUUCAGAUAAGCAAAAGGGAUUGACAAAUGCAGUUGGGACAUUGUUUGAGAAUUCGGAGCAUACGACGUGUGUCAGACAUCUAUACAACAAUUUCAGCAUUUGUCACAAGGGUUUAGCAUUGAAGAACUAUUUGUGGGAUGCAGCCAGGGCCACUACUAUAUCGCAGUGGCGUCAGCACAUGCAACGGAUGAUGGACUUGGACCCGGCUGCUUAUGGAUGGGUUGAAGAAAAACCAGCUUCCCAUUGGAGUAAAUCCCACUUUAGAGAGUGAAAUCAGUGUGACAUGCUUCUGAACAACUUAUGUGAAUCAUUUAAUAGCACAAUUGUGGUUGCAAGAGAGAAGCCAAUCUUAACCAUGCUCGAGGAUAUCAGGGUAUAUUUGAUGAGGAGAAUUGUGGCCCGUAGAGAGUCUUGUGAUAGGUGGACAACAACAGUUGGACCUAGAAUUCAGAAGAUUUUGGACAAAAAUGGUAAACUUGCAAGGUUUGAGUGGGCUGAGUAUGUAGGCAAUGAAAAGUUCCAAGUUCACCACAAUGCAGGGUUUGUGCUACAUGUUGUGGAUUUAAGGGCACGAACUUGUACAUGUCGUGGUUGGCAAUUAUCAGGAAUUGCAUGUAGUCAUGUCAUUGCCUCAGUUGUAUCUAGAGGCCUGAACGUGUUGGAGUUCGUGGAUGACAUCUAUAAGAAGGAUGCAUACAUGAGAACAUAUACGCCAUCAAUAUCUCCCAUCACAGGUCCGGACGCAUGGCCUACCCCAGGUUUGAACCCUCUCACUCCACUGGUGUACACGAAGAGGCCUGAGAGGCCAAAGAAAAAUAGAAGAAAAGAGCCGAAUGAGAUGGCUUCUUCAAAUCAGCCGAAGAGGUCCGCGCAGUCCAAAAGCAAUUCCAAUACUUCACAAUCAACUUCAGGAACAACGGAAGGUCAAUGAAAAAGAUCGGAGCUAAUAAUGACAUGUUCGAAGUGCGAUGAAGUAGGACACAAUAGGAGAGGCUGCAAAGGGGCACCACCUUCAGUACCUUGUUAGGAUGAAGCUGUCUGGCGUCUGCCAAGUUCACUUAUUAAUUUUUUGGUUUUUGUUUUUGUUAUUUAGUGCACAAAUUGUCUGCAUGUAGUGGUUAUAAUAUAGCAUUUUAGGAACCUUUUUUGGUGUUUAUGUACUGGGAGAAUGUAGCAAGUUCAGGACUUAUGUUGGUUGCACAGUGGAUAUUUUGCACAUUUG